GCCAGGCAUGGUGGUGGUCGCCUGUAAUCCCAGCUACUCGGGGGCUGAGGCAGGAGAAUCGCUUGAAGCUGGGAGGCAGAGGUUCCAGUAAGCCAAGAUGGUGCCACUGCACUCUAGCCUGGGCAACAUGAGUGAAACUCCAUCUCAAANNNNNNNNNNUUUGAGAUGGAGUUUCACUCAUGUUGCCCAGGCUAGAGUGCAGUGGCACCAUCUUGGCUUACUGGAACCUCUGCCUCCCAGCUUCAAGCGAUUCUCCUGCCUCGG
This 264-nucleotide signal recognition particle RNA is filed under the name Chlorocebus sabaeus (green monkey). RNAcentral describes it as "Metazoan signal recognition particle RNA". It matches the Rfam family "Metazoan signal recognition particle RNA". Rfam says of the family: The signal recognition particle (SRP) is a universally conserved ribonucleoprotein. The record is from Rfam by way of RNAcentral. Lineage: Eukaryota; Metazoa; Chordata; Mammalia; Primates; Cercopithecidae.